This 267-nucleotide unclassified non-coding RNA is filed under the name Hevea brasiliensis (rubber tree). Lineage: Eukaryota; Viridiplantae; Streptophyta; Magnoliopsida; Malpighiales; Euphorbiaceae. The record is from RNAcentral.
CUAAAAUAUCAGUGAGCAUGAAAUAUAUGUUCAUUGAUUCAACCUUUUAUUCUCUUUCUUCUCCUUUUCUAUUUCUCUCUCUUGAUAUAGAUACCUUUUCCUAUUAAGUGUCGCUUGAAAACCACAUUUUUUGCAGUUGAUUCAACCUUUUGUUUUCUUUCUUCUCCUUUUCAUUCAUUCCCUCUUUUUCUUCAUACUGCUGAACCAAGAUUUUGUUUCAAGGUGCAAAGUUUCUGAUGAUUAGGUGUUAACAAUAUUGUAUGCAGG